Molecule: ribosomal RNA, 427 nt
Filed under: uncultured Chlamydiae bacterium
Lineage: Bacteria; Pseudomonadati; Chlamydiota; Chlamydiia
Description: bacterial SSU rRNA
Rfam family: Bacterial small subunit ribosomal RNA
Source: RNAcentral
AACGCGAAGAACCUUACCCAGGUUUGAAAUACAGGAGACGAUAUCAGAGAUGAUAUUUUCCGCAAGGACUGCUGUACAGGUGCUGCAUGGCUGUCGUCAGCUCGUGCCGUGAGGUGUUGGGUUAAGUCCCGCAACGAGCGCAACCCUUAUCAUUAGUUGCCAACACGCGAGGUGGGGACUCUAAUGAGACUGCCGAGGUUAACUCGGAGGAAGGUGAGGAUGACGUCAAGUCCGCAUGGCCUUUAUAUCUGGGGCUACACACGUGCUACAAUGGCCGGUACAGAAGGCAGCAAAGCCGCAAGGUAGAGCAAAUCCGCUAAAGCCGGUCUCAGUUCAGAUUGUAGUCUGCAACUCGACUACAUGAAGUUGGAAUUGCUAGUAAUGACGUGUCAGCAACAACGUCGUGAAUACGUUCCCGGGCCUUGUA